Molecule: ribosomal RNA, 406 nt
Filed under: uncultured bacterium
Lineage: Bacteria
Description: partial 16S ribosomal RNA
Rfam family: Bacterial small subunit ribosomal RNA
Source: RNAcentral
AUUGAACGCUGGCGGCAGGCCUAUCACAUGCAAGUCGUGCGAGCGGCGGACGGGUGAGCAAUGUAUGGGCAUCUGCCUGAUGGCGGGGGAUAACUACUGGUAACGGUUGCUAACACCGCAUCCCACCUGAUGAACCCAUAUGGGAUUAGCUUGUAGGUGGGGUAACGGCUCACCCAGGCCAUGAUCCCUAGCUGGUCUGAGAGGAUGAUCAGCCACACUGGGACUGAGACACGGCCCAGACUCCUACGGGAGGCAGCAGUGGGGAAUAUUGCACAAUGGGCGCAAGCCUGAUGCAGCCAUGCCGCGUGUAUGAAGAAGGCCUUCGGGUUGUAAAGUACUUUCAGUCGGAAGGCGUUACCGACAGAAGAAGCACCGGCUAACUCCGUGCCAGCAGCCGCGGUAAUUC